Molecule: ribosomal RNA, 1500 nt
Filed under: Bacillus sp. PPT1
Lineage: Bacteria; Bacillati; Bacillota; Bacilli; Caryophanales; Bacillaceae
Description: bacterial SSU rRNA
Rfam family: Bacterial small subunit ribosomal RNA
Source: RNAcentral
GAUCCUGGCUCAGGACGAACGCUGGCGGCGUGCCUAAUACAUGCAAGUCGAGCGGACAGAAGGGAGCUUGCUCCCGGAUGUUAGCGGCGGACGGGUGAGUAACUCGUGGGUAACCUGCCUGUAAGACUGGGAUAACUCCGGGAAACCGGAGCUAAUACCGGAUAGUUCCUUGAACCGCAUGGUUCAAGGAUGAAAGACGGUUUCGGCUGUCACUUACAGAUGGACCCGCGGCGCAUUAGCUAGUUGGUGAGGUAACGGCUCACCAAGGCGACGAUGCGUAGCCGACCUGAGAGGGUGAUCGGCCACACUGGGACUGAGACACGGCCCAGACUCCUACGGGAGGCAGCAGUAGGGAAUCUUCCGCAAUGGACGAAAGUCUGACGGAGCAACGCCGCGUGAGUGAUGAAGGUUUUCGGAUCGUAAAGCUCUGUUGUUAGGGAAGAACAAGUGCAAGAGUAACUGCUUGCACCUUGACGGUACCUAACCAGAAAGCCACGGCUAACUACGUGCCAGCAGCCGCGGUAAUACGUAGGUGGCAAGCGUUGUCCGGAAUUAUUGGGCGUAAAGGGCUCGCAGGCGGUUUCUUAAGUCUGAUGUGAAAGCCCCCGGCUCAACCGGGGAGGGUCAUUGGAAACUGGGAAACUUGAGUGCAGAAGAGGAGAGUGGAAUUCCACGUGUAGCGGUGAAAUGCGUAGAGAUGUGGAGGAACACCAGUGGCGAAGGCGACUCUCUGGUCUGUAACUGACGCUGAGGAGCGAAAGCGUGGGGAGCGAACAGGAUUAGAUACCCUGGUAGUCCACGCCGUAAACGAUGAGUGCUAAGUGUUAGGGGGUUUCCGCCCCUUAGUGCUGCAGCUAACGCAUUAAGCACUCCGCCUGGGGAGUACGGUCGCAAGACUGAAACUCAAAGGAAUUGACGGGGGCCCGCACAAGCGGUGGAGCAUGUGGUUUAAUUCGAAGCAACGCGAAGAACCUUACCAGGUCUUGACAUCCUCUGACAACCCUAGAGAUAGGGCUUUCCCUUCGGGGACAGAGUGACAGGUGGUGCAUGGUUGUCGUCAGCUCGUGUCGUGAGAUGUUGGGUUAAGUCCCGCAACGAGCGCAACCCUUGAUCUUAGUUGCCAGCAUUCAGUUGGGCACUCUAAGGUGACUGCCGGUGACAAACCGGAGGAAGGUGGGGAUGACGUCAAAUCAUCAUGCCCCUUAUGACCUGGGCUACACACGUGCUACAAUGGACAGAACAAAGGGCUGCGAGACCGCAAGGUUUAGCCAAUCCCACAAAUCUGUUCUCAGUUCGGAUCGCAGUCUGCAACUCGACUGCGUGAAGCUGGAAUCGCUAGUAAUCGCGGAUCAGCAUACCGCGGUGAAUACGUUCCCGGGCCUUGUACACACCGCCCGUCACACCACGAGAGUUUGCAACACCCGAAGUCGGUGAGGUAACCUUUAUGGAGCCAGCCGCCGAAGGUGGGGCAGAUGAUUGGGGUGAAGUCGUAACAAGGUA